CCUGGUCUUGACAUAGUAAGAACUUUCCAGAGAUGGAUUGGUGCCUUCGGGAACUUACAUACAGGUGCUGCAUGGCUGUCGUCAGCUCGUGUCGUGAGAUGUUGGGUUAAGUCCCGCAACGAGCGCAACCCUUUUCCUUAUUUGCCAGCGGGUUAAGCCGGGAACUUUAAGGAUACUGCCAGUGACAAACUGGAGGAAGGCGGGGACGACGUCAAGUCAUCAUGGCCCUUACGACCAGGGCUACACACGUGCUACAAUGGUCGGUACAAAGGGUUGCUACCUCGCGAGAGGAUGCUAAUCUCAAAAAGCCGAUCGUAGUCCGGAUCGCAGUCUGCAACUCGACUGCGUGAAGUCGGAAUCGCUAGUAAUCGCGGAUCAGAAUGCCGCGGUGAAUACGUUCCCGGGCCUUGUACACACCGCCCGUCACACCAUGGGAGUUUGUUGCACCAGAAGUAGGUAGUCUAACCGUAAGGAGGACGCUUACCACGGUGUGGCAGAUGACUGGGGUGAAGUCGUAACAAGGUAAGCGUAGAUGA
RNAcentral lists this ribosomal RNA (536 nucleotides) under uncultured bacterium. Its description in RNAcentral is "bacterial SSU rRNA". It matches the Rfam family "Bacterial small subunit ribosomal RNA", at positions 974 to 1509 of the family's 1533-position model. The record is from RNAcentral.